Molecule: ribosomal RNA, 305 nt
Filed under: uncultured bacterium
Lineage: Bacteria
Description: bacterial SSU rRNA
Rfam family: Bacterial small subunit ribosomal RNA
Source: RNAcentral
CGGUCCUACGGGAGGCAGCAGUGGGGAAUAUUGGGCAAUGGGCGCAAGCCUGACCCAGCAAUGCCGCGUGAAGGAAGAAGGCCCUCGGGUUGUAAACUUCUUUUAUCAGGGACGAAGGAUGUGACGGUACCUGAUGAAUAAGCUCCGGCUAACUACGUGCCAGCAGCCGCGGUAAUACGUAGGGAGCAAGCGUUGUCCGGAAUUACUGGGUGUAAAGGGAGCGUAGGCGGGAGGAUAAGUUGAAUGUGAAAUCUAUGGGCUCAACCCAUAGCUGCGUUCAAAACUGUUCUUCUUGAGUGAAGUAG